GAUGAACGCUGGCGGCGUGCCUAAUACAUGCAAGUCGAGCGAACAGACGAGGAGCUUGCUCCUCUGACGUUAGCGGCGGACGGGUGAGUAACACGUGGAUAACCUACCUAUAAGACUGGGAUAACUUCGGGAAACCGGAGCUAAUACCGGAUAAUAUAUUGAACCGCAUGGUUCAAUAGUGAAAGACGGUUUUGCUGUCACUUAUACAUGGAUCCGCGCCGCAUUAGCUAGUUGGUAAGGUAACGGCUUACCAAGGCGACGAUGCGUAGCCGACCUGAGAGGGUGAUCGGACACACUGGAACUGAGACACGGUCCAGACUCCUACGGGAGGCAGCAGUAGGGAAUCUUCCGCAAUGGGCGAAAGCCUGACGGAGCAACGCCGCGUGAGUGAUGAAGGUCUUCGGAUCGUAAAACUCUGUUAUUAGGGAAGAACAAAUGUGUAAGUAACUAUGCACGUCUUGACGGUACCUAAUCAGAAAGCCACGGCUAACUACGUG
RNAcentral lists this ribosomal RNA (497 nucleotides) under uncultured bacterium. Its description in RNAcentral is "partial 16S ribosomal RNA". It matches the Rfam family "Bacterial small subunit ribosomal RNA", at positions 28 to 507 of the family's 1533-position model. The record is from RNAcentral.